Molecule: transfer RNA, 76 nt
Filed under: Candidatus Saccharibacteria bacterium CG_4_10_14_0_2_um_filter_52_9
Lineage: Bacteria; Candidatus Saccharimonadota
Description: tRNA-Thr
Rfam family: tRNA
About the family: Transfer RNA (tRNA) molecules are approximately 80 nucleotides in length. Their secondary structure includes four short double-helical elements and three loops (D, anti-codon, and T loops).
Source: RNAcentral
GCCGAAAUAGCUCAGUUGGUAGAGCGCGUCAAUGGUAAUGACGAGGUCACGGGUUCGACUCCCGUUUUCGGCUCCA